This 303-nucleotide ribosomal RNA is filed under the name uncultured bacterium. RNAcentral describes it as "partial 16S ribosomal RNA". It matches the Rfam family "Bacterial small subunit ribosomal RNA", at positions 507 to 809 of the family's 1533-position model. The record is from RNAcentral.
AGCAGUAGCCGCGGUAAUACGGAGGGGGCUAGCGUUGUUCGGAAUUACUGGGCGUAAAGCGCACGUAGGCGGCUUGGUAAGUUAGAGGUGAAAGCCCGGAGCUCAACUCCGGAAUUGCCUUUAAGACUGCCGAGCUAGUAGGUGAGAGAGGUAAGUGGAAUUCCGAGUGUAGAGGUGAAAUUCGUAGAUAUUCGGAAGAACACCAGUGGCGAAGGCGACUGACUGGACAAGUAUUGACGCUGAGGUGCGAAAGCGUGGGGAGCAAACAGGAUUAGAUACCCCUGUAGUCCCUGUCUCUUAUAA